This is a long non-coding RNA of Triticum aestivum (bread wheat), 5192 nucleotides long. RefSeq lists it as uncharacterized. Lineage: Eukaryota; Viridiplantae; Streptophyta; Magnoliopsida; Poales; Poaceae. The record is from RefSeq and is a predicted model, not a curated record. The transcript is spliced from 7 exons.
CCGCGCGAGAGGGAAGGAUCGGCACGAAUAUUCUAAGCAUAUGCCAUAGUAGUAGGUAGAACCCUAGCUAGCAAACCAAGACGGGGUCUCCGAUCUCGCGCAAUUCCCCUUGUAUCCCGCAAAUUACUCUUGAUUUAUGCUGGAAAAUACUCAAAUUCGUGAUGAUCCUGUCGACGAGUUGAUUUGAUCCUCACAGAGGCCGCGUAUGGCGGCAGGGAGUUCCUGUUCGACUUCCGGUGGAUGGUGCGCAUCUACGCUGGCACCACCGAGGAGGUCGCCAUGGGCUGGAUUGAUGACUGCAGGACCUGCUUCUUCCCUGUGCCAGAGAGCGGGAGGAAGAGGAAGAGGGGCGAGCCUGAGCUGGAGGAUGGGGCGUCAUUCGGGGUGGAUGAGAGGUCCGACGAGAACAGCGACACGGUGGAGUCCUCAAUCUAGCCUAAUCUCCUGCCUCUCUCAAGCACUCCCCGUGUAGCAGGCCUGGUGUGUAGACUGCCAUGGCAAGGCUACAUCCAUUCAUUAUGGUCAGCAAGGCGGCCAGCUUGGGGCAAGGCAGUGAGGCUGGAGGAGACGGACAAGUUCUACUAGGUUGUUACUUGUCAAGAAGCUCUUCCUCAGAGGGAUAGCACCGGGUGGGAGGCGGCGUGGCGAUCACGGCGAUGCACAAGGUCUUGCAGGGUCCCCGGUCCAGGGCGUUCCAGAUGCAGGGCCAGCUCCUAGCCGCUGCGCGCGGCGCCGACGAGGGCAAUGCCAAGUUCGCGUGGUAUGGCGCUCCGUCGGCGGAUGUGGCCGCGGCAGUGGAGCAUGGGUUCGGCAGGAUGAACAGCCAGGUCCUUUGCCAUCGCGCGCACGGCGAUGACGUCCACCUCUCGCCUGGUUCUUGAUUGUUGAGUAAUUCCUGUUAGUUGUUGCUGAAUUAGGGACUUGAUUCAUGUUGGUUGCUGAAUUGAUUUAUGUCUUAUGUAUACUUGAUUCCGUAGAUUAAUAUCUCUUUUGGUUGGCAAGAAUGGAUCAGACGUAUUUUUGUUUGAAGUUAAGAUUUUUCUUCGCGGGCUAGCGCAAAUCUUCUGCAGGACUACCUCCCCUCUGCAAACCAAUUGAUAUCAAAUAGUGGGACUGAAUUAUUGAUAAUAUUCAGAACUCUAGAAUGGAUAUUUGUACAUUUCAUCGUCUUCAGUAAUACAUAAUAAUGAUUGUUGAUGCCACCAACCCCAACUUGUGAUAAUGAUAUUGAAUUGUUUUAAUUUGGUUGUGUACUCAAAUUUGAAAGCAUUCUACUUUAUUUAUGUCCUGUACAGAUGUACCUGCAGCAUAACUAUUUGAGAUAUGCCACUACAGUAUUAUCAGUCCUUUCAUGUCUUUGAAACGGGGCUUUACAUUCUGUGUGUUCUUAUUGUACAUCAACAACAAGAGCAGAGGAAGGCUACUGAUGCAUUUGAGUUCUAUUCUUAUUUCAAAGAAAGUCAUCAAGUUGAUGCAUGUGAGUUCUUGGAUCUAAAGCAUAAUACAAUGAAAGGUAAUUUUUUAUGAAUAGGAAGAUUGACUAAGGGAGGAUUAUGUAUUGAGAGAAAUCCUCACCUUGAAGAAUGAAACAAAUGGUAAUCAAAGAUGUUCUUUCUACCAAAGAACCAGGCUGUGCCGAGGUAGUGGUGUGGUUCCGAUGAUGGUGGCGAGGCUAAAAUAAGGGAGAUGACUUGGAGUUAUUUUAAGCAUGAGUUGUGUACUGGUGUGGUUCCUUAACUCAUCCCUUUCAGAUCUUACCCCUAUGUUAUCGAUCACCUAUUUAUUUUGUGUUUACUGAUACAGAAUUUAGUACACUAUUUUUUGCCACUAAUGACCAAUCUACAAAAUAAAGCAAACUACAGUAUCAGCUACAAGGUACUAUAUGCAGUCUGAUUUAUCGAUCAUUCGACUGCUUCACAAAGGAAAAGUGCUAAAUGCCAAGUGACAAGAUCAAUAGUAGAGUAAAGGGAUGGAAGGAAAAAUAAGUGUCUCCAGUUUCCUUGGUGGUGUGUGCAAACUGUGAAGGUUCUGUUGUGAUGAAUAAUGGAGCGUAGGCAGUGAGCUAACCAGAUGGACAACUGGCUGGAGGUACCGAGGUGGUAACUAAACCAUGCAUCAUGGCACAAUGUAUUUUACUUUCUAAUCAUCUCAUUUUCUAACUGAACCUGAGAUUCAAAAUGAAUAUAAGCUAUAAUAGUGGAGCUAGCAGGCCUCAUCAACUCGGACGUCUGGCUGCUGCCCAUGGUCUCGCGUGCUCAUGGCAGAGCUACUUGACGUCGCGGACAUACUCAUGUGGACGACCCAUUUGAUCUGUCCUCUUUGGACUACAUAUAUGUUGUAUAGAGGUGUUAUGUUUGGUGUUCUUUUAGGGUCUUUAAAUUUAUCAUGUCAACGGUCAAAUUGUUCUUCCCCGCAUAAAAAGAAGAGGUCAAAUUGUUCAAAUGUGGCAGCAAGUUCUGGGUAGCUAGCAAACACUUCUCGGUUUUUGUGUCUGAUAUUCAUAUAGGUGCCAAGUUGUCUGACGGUCAAUGAAUUACCUCUUGUGGUUCCUGUGUUUAAGAUCUAGAAAUAGAUGGCAAGUUAUUUUUUAUGACAUUUAUUACUCGCCAAUAAAUCAUGUGUCUUUAUAGUUUUUAUUGCCUUGUUACUAAAAAGGUCUAACUGAUGUGCAUAAGGAUCAUAAGACAUAAUUGUAUAUUCACCAAGAUCAUAAUUUUAUAUUUUGUUCACCAAAAUCUUAAUUUUAUAUAUUCUUUUCAUAAAACCAUCAGAUGAUUCUCCAUGAUUUAUAUUAACAUACCGGCUAGCAGCUAGAUAAUCGGUUCAAGCUGAGAUUAGCUUAGCUAGCUGUAUUCAACCCACAGUCCAAUUUCAAGUGGAUCUGACAAAACGUUUCGUUUCUGCACAAAACUCCCUGUUGUUUGGUAUAUUCAACCCGCGGUCCUUUUUAUAGUGGCUGGGCACAUGGAUCCAUCCUCCUCCGCGCACCGGCGGGGGCGGUCGUCGUCGGCUCCGCCAAGCGCAUGCUCGCCCUUGACAUGGCAAUGAGAGAGGCGGAGCGGCCGGCGGGCGGGACAGCCCCACGGACCACGCCGAGCCGAGCACCGCAGCCGAUAGGGAUCCGGGCGCCAAAAGGAGGCGCGGCAGCGGCAGCGGUGACGAUGCGCACGUCGUGGUCCAAAGGCCGGAGAAGCGCCGGAUCCUCGCGUGGAGGGUGCGCCAGUACCGGUCCCUGGUGGCCGAGGCCAAGGCGGCGGCGAGGUAGGGCCAGAAUCCGGACGGUGAGGAAGAGGACGGCCGCUUGGAAGAGCGUCCAACGGCAAUUCGCGCGCGCCUCUGCGAUGGCCUGCACAAAUGAAGCCCCGGCGGCGGCGGAGGAGCUGCUUAGCAAUAUUAAAGAUCCGCUGGUAAUUAAAUCAACUCAAUCCUCAUGCUAAUUAGGGAAUAGGAUUAGCACCCUAGCAUUUUGUUUUCCUACUCGAUUAGACAGUGCUCCUUGAUCUGAAUGACAGGGGAGCUCAGCUCAAUUAGGUUGGCUUUUGUGAUGUUAUCCAAUUGCGUGUAGAAAUCCCAUCUUUAUGCUCUGAAAAACUUACUACUGACACUCUGAAAGACAGCAGUAUAUAUUAGUGUUCUUAGAUUAUUGCGCACUUGAGCAUUUGUGCUCUAAGUUGAUUUACCAGAUGACAGCAUCAGUCUCGGCUGAUUUUGCAGCUUCAUUCAUGCCUUCCACUGGGCAUUGAUCUGUCUCCAGUCUCCACUGCAUUUCACUAGCAGUAGUUUUCGCCUUGUGAGGUCUGAGCUAUCAAAUAUUCAAAUGCCUUAACUUUUCUAGCUAAUCCAAUAGCCUAGGAGUAUCACCAUGUUUACACAUUUAGAAGAUUUUUGCAGUUAGACGAUUCCGAGAGAGCAAAGAGUGAGUUGAGAGGGAUGGAGAGAGCACAGAAGGGAAGGAGAAAGGAAUAGGGAGGCGCGGCGGUGGUUGGUUCUCCGGCGGCACUGGAUCGGGCACGGGCGCAGAGCUCCUGCUCGGGGACGCGAAGAUCCAGGGAGGCACUCUCCCAUUCAGUUACCCUUACUAUCGGUUCCUAGGUGCAGCCCCGGCCGCCAUCGCCUGAACGGCGCUGACGCGUGCUUCUCCCCAGAGAGGGCCAUGCCACUGCAGAUGAAACUGAAUCCACUUCCGAGCCGGCGGACAUGACAUGGUUGGUUUCACGGGAUUGACUCGGCUACCUACAGAAGUGCCACCAAUCUGAACCAAGCUGUUGCGUCAAGGCAUGUAGGUUGAUUCAUAUGAUUCUUCAGCGGCAGCAAGUUUUCCAUGUACAUUCCUUCCUAUAAGCGACGGGCGCGACACACACCUCCAACCAACGCUUUCCCCGGUGAUCCCCGGCCACGAGCAUGUCUAUCCCCUACAAGCCGCUACCAGUGCUCCCUCUCCGCUGGAUGCGGCAAGGUCGUGCGAGUGUUCUGUAGCUCGGCGCUGCACCAUGGGCACAGGAUCGUCGCCCUCAUGGCCACAGCCGCAAACUUCGUGUCUGGCCUGCUUAUCCUCACCACUUUCAGAAUCGGAGGCAGUGCAUGACUGGUGACCAGUGUCCGACUUUGAUCGUCGACGCUGAUGAUGGAUUCAAGCACUCAACCAUAUUCUUGGUACAGCACCACUGGGGACUUAGCAAAACUGCUUUUUAGCCAUUAACAUCCAAGUCCUAGAUAUUGUUAUGGCAUAAAUUUUGACGGUUAGGAUUUUAACAAGGUGCAGAGCUGUGUAGGUUGAGACGACAGAGAUAAUAGUAUGCUAAAUGUGUAGACAUAGUUUGACAAUUUUGCUGAAAGAUAGUACUCCCUUUAGUAAAAAAGAUGUCCUGAAUAAGCUCUAAUAUGACAUCAUGAUUGUUACCAGUUGUUCCGAAGAACAAGUGCUACAUCAUCAGGAUUCACACCUCGUCAGAUCCAAGAUCUUUGAUUUCCUGUUGUUUGGAAGGGAUCCAUUAGUUGCCGCCACUGUUCAAGUUAGAUGUAACACAAUAUGUAAAGCUCCAUUAUUGCGAUUCAAAGACUCCAUCAUGGAGUAUUUUUUGUUGUAGCUUCUAGGUUAAUUUUUUAUGUGGUCGGCAUAACACCUAAUUCAUAAUGAAGUAAUUUUAAAUAAGUUAUAAGGUUUAAGAGAAAUCUUAUACCAAUAAAGAAAA